UCCCUCGUGGCUCAAGAGUAAAGCAUCUGCCUGCAAUGCAGAAGACCUGGGUUUAAUCCCUGUGUCGGGA
Molecule: transfer RNA, 70 nt
Filed under: Ovis aries (sheep)
Lineage: Eukaryota; Metazoa; Chordata; Mammalia; Artiodactyla; Bovidae
Rfam family: tRNA
About the family: Transfer RNA (tRNA) molecules are approximately 80 nucleotides in length. Their secondary structure includes four short double-helical elements and three loops (D, anti-codon, and T loops).
Source: Rfam by way of RNAcentral